Molecule: long non-coding RNA, 4506 nt
Filed under: Capsicum annuum
Lineage: Eukaryota; Viridiplantae; Streptophyta; Magnoliopsida; Solanales; Solanaceae
Description: long non-coding RNA (CANN_LNC021598)
Source: RNAcentral
UUUCUAAUAAAAUAUUGAAAUGAGAGGAACAAGCUAUCCAAAUAUCAGUUUAAUCGAACAAGAAACGAAACAGGGAUCACAAUUUGAAGUUGACAGUUGUGGCUGGAAUUUUAGGUGCGAAAAUCUGCUCUUGUUUUCUCUCUGGCUGUUGAAACUCUCUUUUUGUGGAUGUGAAAUAAUACCUAAUGGUCCUAUGUGCAAAAGUGGAUUGGUCUAAAUUGGACUUCAUUUAUCUACAUAAGAAGGGAAAAAGACCCGUGACCUAACAAGAAAGUGUUAGUAAACAAUAAUAGGUAAUACAAUUGAGCAAGCAAGAACAAGACUAAAUAGGAAGAAGUGUUAGAUUGUUUUAUAGAGUCCAUAAGCAUUUGAGAAGCUUUAAGGAAAGCUAGACUUGAUCAAUAUGAGGUAAUAGCAAACGCAAGCUUUAAUUUGGAUAGGGAUGGAGUUCAUUUGAACUUCAAAUAUGCUACCGAGUACACAUGUAAACAAAAGAUAGGAAAAAUUAGCAUAAUCUUAAUCUCAACAAAAUUAACACAUGAGAUAAAUACUUCAACUAUUUUCUAAACUUAAACAAGACGCUAACCAAUCCAACAGUUUACACACCGUCAUUCAAGCAUAUAUUGGUAAGAAAGUAUUUGAAAUAAACUUCUCACAUAAUAUGUAAUUAGGAUAAAGUUGCGAGGCACUUAGCUAUCCAAACACAUCUACACCUUUUCAAUGAGUUACCAAAUAUAGAAAGUACCAAAAAGAAGCAACACAUCCUAAGUAGAUACUUGUAAGACUGCAAAUUAUAUUCCUUUUUUAUCAAAUAUUUCAUGAUCCAAUAUGUAGAAAAUCUCACACGAAUAAGUGUAAAUAUGGACUCUUUGAACUCAAUUUUUCAGAAUGUGUUAAGAGUACUUCAAUUAGCAAAUGAUCAAUUGAGUUUAGACGAGACAUAAUAUGACUCAACAAAUUUUAACACGCGAAUAUAGAUGAGUUUCUAAUACAUAUCCAUCGGUUAAAAUAAGGCAUCAAGUUAUCCAAAUGACUGGGAGUCAAAACAAUAAAGAAACAUGAAGCUAUAACUUGGUAUUAACCACUCUUUGAAUUUUCAAUCCAAUUUGGAGCUAUAAAUUCACGCAGUAUCACUUCCCCAUUACUGAAAAUUAAUAAAAGGACUAGAUGCUUAUCACAUAUUCAUGGACAUAUUGUGAAUAAAUAAGCUAAAAACAAAGCAAAUAAGAUGAGGUUCUACAUUACUUCGUACACAAAAGUUGUAUAUCCGAGUUAAGACAAACUUAAAAAUUGAACUCAACUUUUAGUAGACAAAAUGUAAUGAAGGAAACGAAAAGGAGGCAGGAUAAUAGCUAACUUAUUAUAAACACAAAGCUGCCACAUAUUUGACAAUAAAAAAUCAAGACGAGGUAAUAGGACCAAAUUUUGAUAUAGAAACAACAAUAACAUCAAGACGGGAUAGAAAAUCACUUUUACAGUAAUUUAUGAAACCUUAUAUAACAACCUUGAUUGUGAAAAUUUUUUUUUUGACAAUGCAUUUUGAUUUUUCUAUCAUUUUUUGAGGUUUUUACAUGAUAUUUAUAAAAUAUGUGGAUGAUUGUCAUAGUCCUCGAUGCAUUAUGGAGUGAUUUGGAAGAGCUUGAGACUAGUUGAGGCUUUAAAAGUCAUUAGCUUAACUUCAAUCAAUAUGUUGUAUUUGGAGCACCAGAAGGUGAUUUGAAAAUUUUUAUUAGGUUUGGAAUGUCAAUUUUGACAGCGAAGUUGGUUCUGGUUUGAAAUCUUUAUUUUGUAUUUUGAUCCUUCAUAUAGAAAAUAGUGAAAUAAGCUAAACCGGGGUCAUGAGGGAUAAUUUGUUAUAAACAAUCUAUUUUUUAAAAAUUCAAUAUUGUCAUUGAGUCCAGAAUUUCCAAAUUAUCCCAUUAGCAUAUAUGAAUUAGUUCUGUAAGGUUCCGAAGGAAUCUCGAGGGCCCGUUCGAAGAAUUUCAAAACUGGCAAACUCAACAUUUUUGCUAAUAUCUAGUGCCUCAAGCAUCCUUCUUUGUGAAUGUGGGCCCCUAGAUACAAAUGAAAAGUAGAAUAAUUUCUUUCAUCAUGAUCGCGAAGAGUAAUUAAGUCGGGUCUAGUUUUCCUCUUUCAUCACAAAUGCGACAAAGUUGUUGUGAUCGCGAUGUGUCCUGAUCUUCAGCAUUCGUGAACGCGGGAGGCUAACCACAAAUGUGAUGGUAAAUUAUUUGUCCAAAUCAACGUUGACCCUCGCGAUUAUGAGGCUUGAGCCGCAAUCAAGAGGUACUGUUCACAGAACAGUAUAAAUAGUUUAUAUUUACGUUUUUUAUUUUUGGACCUUGAGGCUUUGAAAAAGGUGAUUCUUAUGGUUUUCUCCACCAUUAUUUCUUGGGUAAGAUCUAAAUUCAUAUUUCCAUUAUUUUCUAGUGAUUAUAUCUUCAAAAAAUACCUUGUCAUCUUGAUUUUAAAUGAAUUUUGGAGGAUUUUGCCGGUAAGACUUUAUAAUAAUUUUUCUUUGAUUUGAACAUCAGUUUCAACUUGUUUUCGCAUGAAUUUUCAAUUGUAAACUAAUAUGAUCAUGGGGAACAUAUUCUUAAAAUAGAAUUCUAAUUUUACCCCUUUCAUUUGUGAACUCAUUUUUCAAAUCCAUUUUGGACUCAAUUCUAAUAUAGUUAAUAUGAGUAUCAUUGACAUUGUUUUACUACUUAAAUCACAUAUUUGAUAGUUUUAACUUGUGCCAAGUCCAUUCACAAGGGAAAGGCUCUACGCUAAAGGUUCUAGACUUGAAUUUUGGCACUUCAAGGUAGAUUACGGUUUAGCUUCCUUCAGAAUAGGUCGGAUAGUUAAUGAAAAUGUAAAGCAUGCUAUAGGUUAGCGAGUUUAGUCAUGAGAUUUAUAUUUUAGUAUUUUUAUUUUAUCACAUGCUCGUGCGAGGCUUAUUUGUACAUUAUUGUUGACUUAGGAGAAUAUAAUUAUUGUGAUGCCUAGUGGGGGCUUUAUAUGAUAUUCUAGGUCUUACAUGUACACUGACUUGCCAUAUUUAUUUUUGUGUCACAUGACUGGGAGCUUGACUUAUUAUUAUAGGCCUUGCAUGAGUAUUUAUUGCUUUGAAAAUGAUAUUAUUGAUGUCUUACAUGACUAAUCAUUCUAAUGGUACCGAGUGAGCACUAAUAAUAUGAAUUAUUGACAUCUUGAGUUGAAUUUGAGAUCAUUUAUACUUGUAUUGAGUUGAUAAUUAUCUUUAUACUGAUUGAUUGUGCAUAUUACAUCCUUAUUUCAUCUAUACAUAUUCAUGUGAUUGGUGUCACUGAAAAUAUUAAUUUUUGAUAGAAAAUGAGACACUUUAUAAAAUGCCUAUCGGGGGAUGUGCCAUUAGGAUUGAUUUAGUAAUACUAACUUUUGCUAAAAAUUGAGAUACUUUAUAAAAUGUCUAUACCGAGAGACGUGUUGGAAGGGUUGAUUGAGAUAUGAUAUUGAGAUUAUGAUAAAGUAUAUGAAUUCCGAACCUCCAUGGGUCUUGUCUUGAAGAAUGAAGGCUUGGAAGGUGUAUAUGAAAGUUCCACCAUCAUUGCUUCAUUUCAUUACAUUGUAUGUAUUCCACUAUAUAUUAGUUGUUGCAUUUCUUAUAUACAUUACGUGUUUAGCUAUCCUUUUUGACUUAUUAUAUGUUAUAUAAUUGUUAGUGGAGACGGUGUGGGCUAUCAUUUGAGAACUUUUCUAUUUGCAGGUUACAUGCUCAUAACAUCUUUUAUUUUAUUUUAUCCUUUGCUUUGUUCAGUCGUCCUAUAAUACCUACUGAGUACAAGUGGAUCAUACUCAUUCCUACUUUGCACCUUUCGAUGCAGAUCCUAGUUGGACAAUGGCUCAUGGUAGCAAAGUUCGUGCUAUCAGAGUGACAUCUUGAGGUACUGGCGAGCUUUAGACUUUGGGGCAGAUUCUGGACCUCAUCUUAUCUUAGUUGCCAUUAUUUACCUUUUGAAGACAUGCUUAUGUAUUUUCAGUAUUAUAAGUUGUAUUAGAUGCUCUUUACAAUCAUGACACAUAUAUCUUGGAAAUUUUAUACAUUUGGUCCAAAUUCAUGUUAUUACAUGUUAUGGCCUGGGUUCGUUCUUGAAGUUUACAUUUAUGGGUUAAUUUUCUUAUUAUUGAUCUGUACUUAAUUUUGUAAAUUUUGGCUUACCUAAUAAGAUUGACCCAAAUAGGUGUCAUCAUGAGCUCAACUUUAGGGUAGUGAUAUCAUAUCAGUCAUAUAUUGAAAUGUCAAUUAAAAAAAGUAAAAUAAAGAAUAAAGGUUCACCUUGUGUUAGGUAGCAAACAUGAGGCUCUAACGUCAAGUUUUUCGGGACUCAGGACUCAAACUCAAAUAUGAUUCAAAGAGAAUUUGAAAACACGAAGAAAAGUAGUAGUGUAAUAGAAAGAAAUUAAUAAUAUAUGUAGUAUGAAAUGAUUUGUUAUUGUGACUUUGCUUGUGAUUUUUCCUCUUUUUCCCAAUCUCUACACUUG